GGCUCAUUAAAUCAGUUAUCGUUUAUUUGAUAGUACCCUACUACAUGGAAUACCUGUGGUAAUUCUAGAGCUAAUACAUGCGCAAAACCCCGACUUCGGAAGGGGUGUAUUUAUUAGAUAAAAAACCAAUGCCCCUCGGGGCUCCUUUGGUGAUUCAUAAUAACUUCACGAAUCGCAUGGCCUUGCGCCGGCGAUGGUUCAUUCAAAUUUCUGCCCUAUCAACUUUCGAUGGUAGGAUAGUGGCCUUACCAUGGUGGCAACGGGUAACGGGGAAUUAGGGUUCGAUUCCGGAGAGGGAGCCUGAGAAACGGCUACCACAUCCAAGGAAGGCAGCAGGCGCGCAAAUUUACCCAAUCCCGAUACGGGGAGGUAGUGACAAUAAAUACUGAUACAGGGCUCUUUUGGGUCUUGUAAUUGGAAUGAGAACAAUCUAAAUCCCUUAACGAAGGAACAAUUGGAGGGCAAGUCUGGUGCCAGCAGCCGCGGUAAUUCCAGCUCCAAUAGCGUAUAUUAAAGUUGUUGCAGUUAAAAAGCUCGUAGUUGAAACCUUGGGCCCGUCCUGCCGGUCCGCCUCACCGCGAGUACUGGUCCGGAUGGGCCUUUCUUUCUGGGGAAUCCCAUGGCCUUCACUGGCUGUGGCGGGGGAACCAGGACUUUUACUGUGAAAAAAUUAGAGUGUUCAAAGCAGGCCUUUGCUCGGAUACAUUAGCAUGGAAUAAUAGAAUAGGACGUGCGGUUCUAUUUUGUUGGUUUCUAGGACCGCCGUAAUGAUUAAUAGGGAUAGU
This 785-nucleotide ribosomal RNA is filed under the name Talaromyces purpureogenus. RNAcentral's name for it is "SSU rRNA". It matches the Rfam family "Eukaryotic small subunit ribosomal RNA", at positions 95 to 882 of the family's 1831-position model. The record is from RNAcentral. Lineage: Eukaryota; Fungi; Ascomycota; Eurotiomycetes; Eurotiales; Trichocomaceae.